UGAGGAAUAUUGCACAAUGGGCGCAAGCCUGAUGCAGCAACGCCGCGUGAGGGACGAAGACCUUCGGGUCGUAAACCUCUUUUCUGGGGGACGAGUAAGGACGGUACCCCAGGAAUAAGUCUCGGCUAACUACGUGCCAGCAGCCGCGGUAAAACGUAGGAGGCGAGCGUUAUCCGGAUUUACUGGGCGUAAAGCGUACGCAGGUGGCUUCGUUAGUCGGACAUGAAAGCUCCUGGCUUAACUGGGAGAGGUUGUUCGAUACUGCGGGGCUUGAGGUUGGGAGAGGGACGUGGAAUUCCCGGUGUAGUGGUGGAAUGCGUAGAUAUCGGGAGGAACACCAGUGGCGCAAGUGGCGUCCUGGCCCACACCUGACGCUGAGGUACGAAAGCGUGGGUAGCAAACAG
RNAcentral lists this ribosomal RNA (404 nucleotides) under uncultured bacterium. Its description in RNAcentral is "bacterial SSU rRNA". It matches the Rfam family "Bacterial small subunit ribosomal RNA", at positions 355 to 775 of the family's 1533-position model. The record is from RNAcentral.